AUUGAACGCUGGCGGCAGGCUUAACACAUGCAAGUCGAGCGGGGUGAUGGUGCUUGCACUAUCACUUAGCGGCGGACGGGUGAGUAAUGCUUAGGAAUCUGCCUAUUAGUGGGGGACAACAUCUCGAAAGGGAUGCUAAUACCGCAUACGUCCUACGGGAGAAAGCAGGGGAUCACUUGUGACCUUGCGCUAAUAGAUGGGCCUAAGUCGGAUUAGCUAGUUGGUGGGGUAAAGGCCUACCAAGGCGACGAUCUGUAGCGGGUCUGAGAGGAUGAUCCGCCACACUGGGAUUGAGACACGGCCCAGACUCCUACGGGAGGCAGCAGUGGGGAAUAUUGGACAAUGGGGGGAACCCUGAUCCAGCCAUGCCGCGUGUGUGAAGAAGGCCUUAUGGUUGUAAAGCACUUUAAGCGAGGAGGAGGCUCUUUUGGUUAAUACCCAGAAUGAGUGGACGUUACUCGCAGAAUAAGCACCGGCUAGCUCUGUGCCAGCAGCCGUCGUAA
This 503-nucleotide ribosomal RNA is filed under the name uncultured bacterium. Its description in RNAcentral is "partial 16S ribosomal RNA". It matches the Rfam family "Bacterial small subunit ribosomal RNA", at positions 30 to 523 of the family's 1533-position model. The record is from RNAcentral.